AUCGAUCUUCAGGGCAGGGCGAAAUUCCCGACCGGCGGUAAAGUCCGCGAGCGCAAGCUGAACCGGUGUGAUUCCGGUACCGACAGUACAGUCUGGAUGGAAGAAGAUUUUU
Molecule: non-coding RNA, 112 nt
Filed under: Firmicutes bacterium CAG:124
Lineage: Bacteria; Bacillati; Bacillota
Also listed under: 1 other name
Description: FMN riboswitch aptamer (RFN element)
Rfam family: FMN riboswitch aptamer (RFN element)
About the family: The RFN element is a highly conserved domain that is found frequently in the 5'-untranslated regions of prokaryotic mRNAs that encode for flavin mononucleotide (FMN) biosynthesis and transport proteins. This element is a metabolite-dependent riboswitch that directly binds FMN in the absence of proteins.
Source: Rfam by way of RNAcentral